CCAACCUAGGGUUGUAACGAACAGAAGUGCCUUGAGAGAACCGAGUGAGCUUCAGUUUCUACUGCCAUGGCGCUCGAGUUCCGUUGCGGGCAUACAGUGAAACCCUAAAUCCCUUUCUUCUUCUAGCAGUAGGAGCUUUUCUCUCACUUCUCUUGCUCCGAAGAAAGGUUUUACACCAAAUUAUCCCUAUUUUUGUAUGUAUGUAUAUGCGUGAGAGACAAUGGCCGAUCCAAUGGGCUCUCGCGUAAGAUGAGAUGUGCGAGAGCUCAAUUUCACCCGGCCUAUAUCGAGUUUCAUUGCUUUUAAAGGGGCAUCCUCAAGGUAUAAGUCUAUUCUUAUAUUAUUAGCAUGGAAUUGUUUAGUGCGGGUGGUUUGAUUCCUGACCAUAAUGGAGAGUGGAUUGUGGGCUUCAUGACAUUAUCAUGGGCUGCAGAAGGUAGUGGUCGAGAUUGAUUCUGAAUUUGUUUUCCAGGCCAGCUAGAAGAGAGCAAGUCUAGGCCGGAAGCUCACACGUUCAAGACAUCAUCAUCAGUCAUGUUCCUAGGUAAGAGAACCAAUGUGGACUACUUGGCCAAUCUUGAUCAAACCACGGACUGGGGUACGACAAUAUUGGAUUGACCACCAGAAGGUAUCAUGUCUCUUUUGUUGAAGGAUGCUAGAGGGGUUGUGACGAGAAGAAUCUAUUAACCGGGACCUGAGUGGCCCUUUGGGGCACCAAAAAAAAGCAUUGAAUGUGUAUUAAUUAUGACUGAAUUGAGGGAGUAGUAUGAAAUUGUUAACAACACUUGUUUUUUUUGAGUUGUGGUAUUUGUUGUGUCUAAUUUCCCUACUCAUGUUGCUAAUAGGAAAGUAGACUUUUGAAGUCUAUUUGUUGGAUAUUUGGAUUAGGCUGUUUGAUUAACUUUUUUUUUUGUUUUUUUUGUUUUUGGAGUCUUGUAUUUUGUCAAACUGCCUAGUAUCUCAAUUUUUAGAGGAAAAUAGACAAACAAUACAAAACAAAUACUCUUUGAAGUUAUCACUA
This is a long non-coding RNA of Ipomoea nil (Japanese morning glory), 1021 nucleotides long. RefSeq lists it as uncharacterized. NCBI's taxonomy places the organism in Eukaryota, Viridiplantae, Streptophyta, Magnoliopsida, Solanales, Convolvulaceae. The record is from RefSeq and is a predicted model, not a curated record. The transcript is spliced from 2 exons.